Molecule: long non-coding RNA, 654 nt
Organism: Dreissena polymorpha
Lineage: Eukaryota; Metazoa; Mollusca; Bivalvia; Myida; Dreissenidae
Exons: 3
Source: RefSeq, a predicted model, not a curated record
AGCCCAAUUCCGUCCCACUUGUGUGCUUCCACCUGUUGAUCCAUUUUUCACAUAUUUUUGUCAGGGAUUUAGAGGGAUGACUUUGCCACUUUACGAUCAAUGCAAAAGGGAAUUUGGUGCAAGCAGUACCCGCAAUAUGUCCGACCCUGCCGACAAACCAUUCCUUCAAAGCAACUAUGUUACUCGUUGUGUGAGAAAAGUAGAUAAGUAUCCCUUUGUGUUUACUGACGGCAAUCAACUUAAGGUUAAAAAAGAAGUUAUGAUGGGAACCAAAUGCGUUAAAGAUGGAAUUAUGGACCCUAACAAUGUUUGCUUCCACGGUGCUUGCACGUUCUUAUCACUUUGCAACUCAAACAACCAACCAAAAGCAACGCCAACACCGCCAACAACCCAACCUCGACCAAUACUCGCUACAACAUCCGUUACUCGUCCAGCGACCACAGCAUUGCCCACCGAGUGUCUGUGUUCGAACUCCGAUUGUUGCCAGAGCGUGUACAGGAGACGGAGGACGUGUUGCCCACAAUGCAAGCGUAGGGGGUCAAGCUGUAUUAUUAAGUGAUAGUUCAACAGGAUACGGAGGAAGAAGACACACAAAUAGAUACAAGUGAAAAUAUGUUUGUCUGAUUUAACAAUGAGAGCAGAUGUUACCGUCUC